Long non-coding RNA from Coffea eugenioides, 326 nucleotides. RefSeq lists it as uncharacterized. NCBI's taxonomy places the organism in Eukaryota, Viridiplantae, Streptophyta, Magnoliopsida, Gentianales, Rubiaceae. The record is from RefSeq and is a predicted model, not a curated record. The transcript has 2 exons.
AAAAGAAACUCAGUUGGCGAAGGAGACUGAAAAUGCUAUGUGAUAUAUGCAGUUGAAUCUUUUUGGAGUGAAUUCCAAAUUCCAAAGCUAUAUGCUGCAUCUCUGCAGUUGGCCUUUGUGACAUGUUAUAUGUGAAGACCAAUUGGUGCAAGGUGACCAACUUGGAGGAAGAGGAAUAUAGCAAAUUGGAAUGAAGUGUCGUGUUUAUAGUGGAUUUUAUUUCAUUGCAGUUAUAAUACUUUUUCAACCUAAACCCUAAUGUAACAGAAUUUGUCCAUGCAAAGUACAUUGCAUUUCCAGUUAAGUGAACCCUGAAGAUUGUUUAA